UUAGGCAGCGACAUCCGCUUGUUCAUUCUCGCUCAGGACUUGCCCAAGAGCUUGAUGCCUUGGCUCUUUUUGGUACACUGUGUUGCAUGCCAACAUUGAUGGAAUUUUGAUGGUGUCGUUUGUCCCUAAUUUCACCUUGUGCUGCUCAUGUGGUGCGGGGUGAACAAUGCAGUGCCUCGUGAUGCCCUGACUGUAGGCACUUCAUGUGCUGUCGGUUUGGGCGACACGGGAAACUCGAACUCUCGGAUACAGAACGUAAAGUUGUGCGUAUGGGGUCUAGCACUCUGUAAGCCCAGAUUGAGCGCUCUCUCGCCAACGAUGUUGUUCUUCCAGGGUUUCCAACUGUCAGGAAAGCUGGAAAGCCGUUGUUGGGCAGAGAGUGUCGAAAAAGACAGACUGUUGAACCUCGUUCCGUAGGGGUCUAGAGGCGUACGAGAGUAUGACCGAAGGCUGCUCGGGCGGGGGUACUUCGACAUGUUUGCCAAGGAAUGCUACCUGG
Molecule: unclassified non-coding RNA, 499 nt
Filed under: Azorella ruizii
Lineage: Eukaryota; Viridiplantae; Streptophyta; Magnoliopsida; Apiales; Apiaceae
Description: partial contains external transcribed spacer and 18S ribosomal RNA
Source: RNAcentral